AGCUGAACUCGAUAAUCGAGGAACUGCGAAUGAAUUACUCUGUUUUACAGGACAAAUUCACGAAAGAAGAGGCCGAGAAGUUGGCUGCAAUUGAAGCCUUUUUUUUUUGAAACGUACAAUUGAAGCCUUAGUGGCCGAGAAGAAUUCCAGGAUGACAGCCGAAAGAUCGCAGGCAGCCCUCACUGAAGAUCUUGAAAAAGCUUUAAGAGAUAAUUCGAGCUCGAAUCAGAAGUUUCGUUUCCAAGGGCGAUCCCGCUGGUACAAUCGUCAUAUUUUACACUCGAUUUCUGCUUACAAGGAAUGAAUGUUUCCCCUUUACGCUCAUGAGCGGAUUCGAGUAAAUAUCACUGGGAUUGCUCUUGGAAUUAAUGUGCUUCCAGGCUCCAUCCUCAUAAUCUUCUCAUGCUUCAACCUCAACUUAAGCAAAUUCAGGAGGAAGAGUGGAGUAUCUUCCAGGCUUCCAAGGACCCCUCCCUUACAGCCAUAAAUAUAAACACACACCUUGAUUUUAACAUGAAAUUGCAACUCGAAGGCACAUUCAUUAUUAUUGAACUAAACCAACUUUGAUAAACCAUAAAAAGAAACAUUCGAAUAACCAAAAUGUAUGGAAAUAUGAUGUUACAUGU
Molecule: long non-coding RNA, 626 nt
Organism: Helianthus annuus (common sunflower)
Lineage: Eukaryota; Viridiplantae; Streptophyta; Magnoliopsida; Asterales; Asteraceae
Exons: 3
Source: RefSeq, a predicted model, not a curated record